Molecule: ribosomal RNA, 253 nt
Filed under: uncultured bacterium
Lineage: Bacteria
Description: partial 16S ribosomal RNA
Rfam family: Bacterial small subunit ribosomal RNA
Source: RNAcentral
UACGUAGGGUGCAAGCGUUAAUCGGAAUUACUGGGCGUAAAGAGUGUGUAGGCGGUGCUCUAAGUUCGGUGUGAAAUCUCCCGGCUUAACUGGGAGGGUGCGCCGGAAACUGGAGUGCUCGAGCGUGGGAGAGGAAAGCGGAAUUCCUGGUGUAGCGGUGAAAUGCGUAGAUAUCAGGAGGAACACCUGCGGUGUAGACGGCUUUCUGGACCAUUGCUGACGCUGAGACACGAAAGCGUGGGUAGCAAACAGG